Molecule: ribosomal RNA, 471 nt
Filed under: Triticum aestivum (bread wheat)
Lineage: Eukaryota; Viridiplantae; Streptophyta; Magnoliopsida; Poales; Poaceae
Description: partial small subunit ribosomal RNA
Source: RNAcentral
AUGGCUGUGAGAAUCCUCUCAUUGACAUCAAGUUCUUCAGUCUGUGAAAGGAAUUGGAGUACCUUCGAAAAUAUACAUACGAAGAAAAGAAAUAGGCUAACUACAGAACGUCUAAACUCUCUUGUGUUCAUAGAAUUCAACUCGAGAAUGAUGGCCAAGAAACAAAUGAUCAAGGAGAAGAAGAUCACUGAUGUCCUCUUAUCCGCUGAAACUACUAAAGCUCAAGGUUUUCUUUUUGAGGGCGGAGAUGAUUAUGCAGAAGUCUUAUGUAUGGAUAAAGAUGAGGAGGAGAUGAAUAGUACAGGGAUGCCAGGGAGUGGCAUUGGAGAAGCAAUGGGAGGCGAUGAACUGCUCGAGCCAUGUAGAAGUGCGAGACCAAGACAACUUUAUGAAGAAGAAGAAUUUGAUUCUGAAAAAGAGGAGUUUGAUGAUGAGGAGGAGAUGCAUUCAGAUGAGGAGAAUGGCUAUUGA